This 497-nucleotide ribosomal RNA is filed under the name uncultured bacterium. Its description in RNAcentral is "partial 16S ribosomal RNA". It matches the Rfam family "Bacterial small subunit ribosomal RNA", at positions 28 to 507 of the family's 1533-position model. The record is from RNAcentral.
GAUGAACGCUGGCGGCGUGCCUAAUACAUGCAAGUCGAGCGAACAGACGAGGAGCUUGCUCCUCUGACGUUAGCGGCGGACGGGUGAGUAACACGUGGAUAACCUACCUAUAAGACUGGGAUAACUUCGGGAAACCGGAGCUAAUACCGGAUAAUAUAUUGAACCGCAUGGUUCAAUAGUGAAAGACGGUUUUGCUGUCACUUAUAGAUGGAUCCGCGCCGUAUUAGCUAGUUGGUAAGGUAACGGCUUACCAAGGCAACGAUGCGUAGCCGACCUGAGAGGGUGAUCGGCCACAAUGGAACUGAGACACGGUCCAGACUCCUACGGGAGGCAGCAGUAGGGAAUCUUCCGCAAUGGGCGAAAGCCUGACGGAGCAACGCCGCGUGAGUGAUGAAGGUCUUCGGAUCGUAAAACUCUGUUAUUAGGGAAGAACAAAUGUGUAAGUAACUAUGCACGUCUUGACGGUACCUAAUCAGAAAGCCACGGCUAACUACGUG